GGAGAAGUGGCGGAAUUGGUAGACGCACUCAAUACCAGAGCGAGUUCAGUGAAAAUCUGUAUGCAAGUAAUGUUGGACGCAUCAUGAAAGCAGACAUCUCAUCCCGGUUCGAGUCCGGGCUUCCCCA
Molecule: transfer RNA, 127 nt
Filed under: Caudoviricetes sp.
Lineage: Duplodnaviria; Heunggongvirae; Uroviricota; Caudoviricetes
Description: tRNA-Ser
Source: RNAcentral